GUGCCGGCAAACGUGGCGCGGACGAGCAAGGAGGGAGCUCCCCGAGCCUGGUGCCUGAGAGAGAUGCCGUCUCUGCCGAGUGCAGCGACGAGGAGGCCGCCACGGCGCGGAUGACAGAGCGGCACGCGGAGACGGAGGUGUAAGAGGAGAAGAGGUGGAGGAUGAGGUGUCAAGAGUCGGAGUCGGAAGUUUGUGUGUUUGUGGGCAAAGCGGCCACUGUAGUAGUACCGUCCUUGUUGCUGUUGUUAUAUUGAUGGUGAAAAGUUAUUUACCACCCACCCCCCUCACCCCGACUUUAUAUUGAAGCUUUUAGUUGUGUGAUGUCCGGUACUCACACAGAGACCCAAAGACUCGCCACACAGAGACCCACAGAGUCACCACACAGAGACCCACAGACUCACCACACAGAGACCCACAGACUCACCACACAGAGACCCAUAGACUCACCACUCAGAGACCCACAGACUCACCACUCAGAGACCCACAGACUCACCACACAGAGACCCAU
Molecule: long non-coding RNA, 508 nt
Organism: Lethenteron reissneri (Far Eastern brook lamprey)
Lineage: Eukaryota; Metazoa; Chordata; Hyperoartia; Petromyzontiformes; Petromyzontidae
Source: RefSeq, a predicted model, not a curated record